GUACCGGUACAUCCAUCGGGCUUGUACCGGUACAGAGCCGCAGACCGCGCGACCCGAGCCUCGGGUUUGCAAUUUCGUCGGCCUUGUACCGGUACAAGAGCCCGUGUACCGGUACAAGGAGGCAGAUUUCGUGCAGUUUGGUCUGCAGGGGGUUUUUCGCGAUUGUGGGCUUUUUAUAACAGCACCCACGCCCCUUAGGGCUUUUUUUGUGCUGGAACCAGAGGAGAGGAAGGUGAGUGAAGCUCCACCUUGUCCCAUUUGAUUUUGAUCUCCAUUUUGCUUGGUUUUUGAUGGAUUUUCUUCUCUUUUGCCCUUUGGUGCCAUUUCCACCAUGGAUGAAGCCUCAAGCUUGGAUUUGGAGCUAAGUGGAGGAUAGAUCUUGGGAUUUAAAGGAUUUAGAGCUUGAUUUGAAGCUUCUAAGAGGUAAGCAUUAUAUUAUCUUCCUCUAGAUUUGAAUUUUAUUGGAUUUCUUGAGAUGAAACCCUAGAUUGUGAUAUUAGGGUUUAUUUUGGGUAUUUUGAAUCUAGGGCUUUUGAAGCUAGAUUGAGUGGAUUAGAGGCUUCCAUUAGGUUGGAUUGGAUGAGCCCUAGCUUCAUUUUGGAGCUUUAGAGGAGAUUUUUGCACUAGAGGUGAGUUUUCCUCACCUAUGAUUGAUUAGCUUAAUGUUUGAGCUAGGUAUUGUUCGUUCGGCUCGUAUGACUCAUGUUCUUGUACCUCUAGGGUACUAGGAGACUAGAGGACACCCUCGUUGGAGCGCACGAGGAGUUUCGUUGUCAUCGGUGGGUUUGGCUUCGUGGAAAUGGGGCGAAAUGGCCCCUAUGCUCUUUCUACUUGUUGUAAAUUAUUUUUAAGUUCAUUUCUAUGCUAAAUGGAAUUUAUAUGAAUUUUAGAGCACUUAAAAUGCAUGCCUCGUGUAUUAUGAAAAUUUCACUAUAUAGUAGAGCUAUAUGAGUAGAAUGCAUGCAUACGGGAAAAGUGUUUAUUUUGCAAGUGAAAAAUACAUCUCUUAUGAGAAUUAUGACUUGGAAUAUGUACUUUGGAACAUAGUUACCAUGUUUUGACAUAGAGAACCAGAGUGUCAUAAAGGGGCACUUGAAACUAGUAAACUAUGAAACUGCAACAUAGAGACAUAUUGGUAGGCCACUACAUAUCUGCUAUAUUCCAUGUUAGAGACAUGACGACAUAGAGAUAGGCCAUCGUGAUACUUGACAUAUUCCAUGUUUUAGACAUGAGGACUUGGUACUUGAGACAGAUCAUUGCUUGCUUGCCAUUUGUGCUCAUUCGCACAUGCUUGUGAGGGUCGCUCCCUACAAGCCGGCACUCCGGAGAUAGCCAUCGCGACACAUGCUCGCCGUGCGGGAUUGGGCGCCGAAGUGGAUUGCCGUGGGGGAGGCUCAUCCCUAGAGUGGGGAUGUUGACUACCACGGGGCCAUUAGGCACGGCGCAGGCCAGACAGCCUUCGGGUGGGUCUUAUAUGAUUGGGACUUAGUGACAGAUCAUGCAAUGUGAACUUUAAAACUAUUAAAGUGGACUUGGACUAGAAUAGUAAACGACGACAUUUUUACUAUCUUUGCAUUGAGGACAUUGGAUUGGUUGCAUUUCUACGCUUAUGCAUGUCUUACACAUCCAUGUACAUUCAUGUUAUAGUUGAUUUAUUACUUAUGCAAAUCAUGCUAAGUGGAGACUCUAUGUUAUAGUAAGUUAUAUUUCACUUACCGUUUAAUUAUUACAUUGUUAGUCACUGACCUCUUCUUGUAGCUUUUGGGCCUUGUGGCGCAGUUCACUGAAGUCAGUAAUUGCCCACUGGGAACUAUUUUUAAUAGUUCUCACGCCCCUGUUUUCUGGUUUUCUUUUCAGAGCCUUCGGCACCGGCGGAGGCACGGGAUCGCGGCAAGGGGAUCGCUUAGCUAGCUAGCGAGGAGCGGUUCUUGCUUAGGUGGUUUGCUCUUUCUUUUUGUAGUUGGGAGAGUGAGAGAUUUUGUAUCCAUGUGUAGAGACCACCUAUGUACCUACUUUUAGCACUUGUAUUUGGGAUUUUCUAUUGUAUUUACUUUAUGUUUUAUUUAGUGGAUUUACAGCUUUAUCCUUAUCCCUGGUUGUAGUAUUUAGACAUUUAUCAUGCUCUGAUACUCCUAGAUGCCUCUUAUUAUUGCUUUUAUUACUGUUGUUUUUAGACGCCUUAUAUGUUUUAGACGUAUGGCGGGUCUGGGCACGUGCCGAGCGGGC
This 2226-nucleotide long non-coding RNA is filed under the name Ananas comosus (pineapple). RNAcentral's name for it is "long non-coding RNA (ACOM_LNC021226)". Lineage: Eukaryota; Viridiplantae; Streptophyta; Magnoliopsida; Poales; Bromeliaceae. The record is from RNAcentral.